ACAAGAAGCUGACAUGAGCCCUUGUUUCCAGUAUGUGAGUCAUCAUUGCCACCAAUGGUCUGGGUCAUUGGCUGUGCACACACAUCCACAGACAGUACAACAACAGCCUCUAGUCCCUUGUUGCUGACCUUUGGGAAGCUGGGCAUGUAAGGCCAUACAUGAUCUACAGUGUACUUGUAGAGGUCAGAGGACAACUUGCAGGAGUCAUUUCUCUGCUUCCACAAUGUGGGUCCUGGGGAUCCAACUGAAGUCAUCAGAAGCAGUACUCGGGCUUCUAUUACACUUUAAUACGAUCUACAUAU
Long non-coding RNA from Microtus oregoni (creeping vole), 302 nucleotides. RefSeq lists it as uncharacterized. The record is from RefSeq and is a predicted model, not a curated record. The transcript is spliced from 3 exons. NCBI's taxonomy places the organism in Eukaryota, Metazoa, Chordata, Mammalia, Rodentia, Cricetidae.